Molecule: ribosomal RNA, 414 nt
Filed under: uncultured microorganism
Description: bacterial SSU rRNA
Rfam family: Archaeal small subunit ribosomal RNA
Source: RNAcentral
CAGCCGCCGCGGUAAUACCGGCGGCCCGAGUGGCGGCCACUCUUAUUGGGCCUAAAGCGUCCGUAGCCGGGCUGGUAAGUCCUCCGGGAAAUCUGGUCGCUUAACGAUCAGACUUCCGGAGGAUACUGCUGGCCUAGGGAGCGGGAGAGGCCGAGGGUAUUCCCGGAGUAGGGGUGAAAUCCUAUAAUCCCGGGAGGACCACCUGUGGCGAAGGCGCUCGGCUGGAACGCGUCCGACGGUGAGGGACGAAGGCCAGGGGAGCAAACCGGAUUAGAUACCCGGGUAGUCCUGGCUGUAAACGAUGCGGACUUUGUGUCGGACAAGCUAUGAGCUUGUCCGGUGCCGGAGGGAAACCGUUAAGUCCGCCGCCUGGGGAGUACGGCCGCAAGGCUGAAACUUAAAGGAAUUGGCGGG